Molecule: long non-coding RNA, 493 nt
Filed under: Struthio camelus australis
Lineage: Eukaryota; Metazoa; Chordata; Aves; Struthioniformes; Struthionidae
Description: lncRNA (ENSSCUG00000008152.1)
Source: RNAcentral
CUGAAGGGUUAUUGUAUUAUAUUCAAGAUGCUUUCAAUUUUUUUCCAGAUUUUGUUUCAGAAAUACAGAAGCCACUUCUGACCUAAUUGGUCAAAAUGCUGUUCCUUGGGAAAUAGCAUGGAAUGUCUUCUUUUCAAGGCAAAUGAUUUUGGGGGCUGAUGAGAGAGCUAGAAAGGGUCAUUCUGGUAGAGGAAAUAUUUUUAUCUGGGCCUCAGGAAAUGGUGGUCUGGCUAAUGACUGCAGUGGUGUGGAUGGUUAUGUGAACAGCAUUUACACAGGGGCAAAGGAUGCCAACAUAUACCUCUGCCCCACAGCUUCUGGUCUACAAGAACUACUCAGCAUCAGUGGCCACCUAGAUGAUCCAGCGAGGAAGGAGUGUGGAGGCUUCUAUCCUGAAAAAGACCUUCAAUGUGAAGCGAGAUUUGGAUUUGGCUUGCUUGAUGCUGGACGAUUAAUGAAGGAAGCCCUAACUGGACAAAUGUUGGUCUCCUGA